AGUGAACGCUGGCGGUAGGCCUAACACAUGCAAGUCGAACGGCAGCACAGGAGAGCCUGCUCUCUGGGUGGCGAGUGGCGGACGGGUGAGGAAUACAUCGGAAUCUACUCUGUCGUGGGGGAUAACGUAGGGAAACUUACGCUAAUACCGCAUACGACCUACGGGUGAAAGCAGGGGACCUUCGGGCCUUGCGCGAUUGAAUGAGCCGAUGUCGGAUUAGCUAGUUGGCGGGGUAAAGGCCCACCAAGGCGACGAUCCGUAGCUGGUCUGAGAGGAUGAUCAGCCACACUGGAACUGAGGCACGGUCCAGACGCCUACGGGAGGAAGCAGUGGGGAAUAUUGGACAAUGGGCGCAAGCCUGAUCCAGCCAUACCGCGUGGGUGAAGAAGGCCUUCGGGUUGUAAAGCCCUUUUGUUGGGAAAGAAAUCCAGCUGGCUAAUACCCGGUUGGGAUGACGGUACCCAAAGAAUAAGCACCGGCUAACUUCGUGCCAGCCGCCGCGGUAA
RNAcentral lists this ribosomal RNA (506 nucleotides) under uncultured bacterium. RNAcentral describes it as "partial 16S ribosomal RNA". It matches the Rfam family "Bacterial small subunit ribosomal RNA", at positions 29 to 523 of the family's 1533-position model. The record is from RNAcentral.